AUUGAACGCUGGCGGCAUGCCUUACACAUGCAAGUCGAACGGCAGCGGACCUUCGGGUGCCGGCGAGUGGCGAACGGGUGAGUAAUAUAUCGGAACGUACCUUUCAGUGGGGGAUAACGUAGCGAAAGUUACGCUAAUAUCGCAUAUUCUGUGAGCAGGAAAGCAGGGGAUCGCAAGACCUUGCGCUGAUUGAGCGGCCGAUAUCAGAUUAGCUAGUUGGUGAGGUAAAGGCUCACCAAGGCGACGAUCUGUAGCGGGUCUGAGAGGAUGAUCCGCCACACUGGAACUGAGACACGGUCCAGACUCCUACGGGAGGCAGCAGUGGGGAAUUUUGGACAAUGGGCGCAAGCCUGAUCCAGCCAUGCCGCGUGAGUGAAGAAGGCCUGAGGGUUGUAAAGCACUUUCAAUCGUGAAGAAAAGUCACAGGCUAAUACCCUGUGACCUUGACGUUAACGAUACAAGAAGCACCGGCUAA
RNAcentral lists this ribosomal RNA (475 nucleotides) under uncultured bacterium. RNAcentral describes it as "bacterial SSU rRNA". It matches the Rfam family "Bacterial small subunit ribosomal RNA", at positions 30 to 500 of the family's 1533-position model. The record is from RNAcentral.